AGUGAACGCUGGCGGUAGGCCUAACACAUGCAAGUCGAACGGCAGCACAGUAAGAGCUUGCUCUUACGGGUGGCGAGUGGCGGACGGGUGAGGAAUACAUCGGAAUCUACUUUUUCGUGGGGGAUAACGUAGGGAAACUUACGCUAAUACCGCAUACGACCUACGGGUGAAAGCAGGGGAUCUUCGGACCUUGCGCGAUUGAAUGAGCCGAUGCCGGAUUAGCUAGUUGGCGGGGUAAAGGCCCACCAAGGCGACGAUCCGUAGCUGGUCUGAGAGGAUGAUCAGCCACGCUGGAACUGAGACACGGUCCAGACUCCUACGGGAGGCAGCAGUGGGGAAUAUUGGACAAUGGGCGCAAGCCUGAUCCAGCCAUACCGCGUGGGUGAAGAAGGCCUUCGGGUUGUAAAGCCCUUUUGUUGGGAAAGAAAAGCAGCAGGUUAAUACCCCGCUGUUCUGACGGUACCCAAAGAAUAAGCACCGGCUAACCUCGUG
Molecule: ribosomal RNA, 492 nt
Filed under: uncultured bacterium
Lineage: Bacteria
Description: partial 16S ribosomal RNA
Rfam family: Bacterial small subunit ribosomal RNA
Source: RNAcentral